GACGAACGCUGGCGGCGUGCUUAACACAUGCAAGUCGAACGAUGAAGCCGGAGCUUGCUCUGGUGAAUUAGUGGCGAACGGGUGAGUAACACGUGAGUAACCUGCCCUUGACUCUGGGAUAACUGCUAGAAAUGGUAGCUAAUACCGGAUACGACCCUCGGCGGCAUCGCCAGGGGGUGGAAAGAAUUUCGGUCAAGGAUGGACUCGCGGCCUAUCAGCUAGUUGGUGAGGUAACCUCUCACCACUGCGACGACGGGUAGCCGGCCUGAGGGGGUGACCGGCCACACUGGGACUGAGACACGGCCCAGACUCCUACGGGAGGCAGCAGUGGGGAAUAUUGCACAAUGGGCGCAAGCCUGAUGCAGCAACGCCGCGUGAGGGAUGACGGCCUUCGGGUUGUAACCCUCUUUUAGUAGGGAAGAAGCGAAAGUGACGGUACCUGCAGAAAAAGCACCGGCUAACUACGUGCCAGCCGCCGCGGUAA
This 484-nucleotide ribosomal RNA is filed under the name uncultured bacterium. Its description in RNAcentral is "partial 16S ribosomal RNA". It matches the Rfam family "Bacterial small subunit ribosomal RNA", at positions 28 to 523 of the family's 1533-position model. The record is from RNAcentral.